Molecule: transfer RNA, 71 nt
Filed under: Tepuihyla aecii (Monte Duida treefrog)
Lineage: Eukaryota; Metazoa; Chordata; Amphibia; Anura; Hylidae
Description: tRNA-Val
Rfam family: tRNA
About the family: Transfer RNA (tRNA) molecules are approximately 80 nucleotides in length. Their secondary structure includes four short double-helical elements and three loops (D, anti-codon, and T loops). Further hydrogen bonds mediate the characteristic L-shaped molecular structure. tRNAs have two regions of fundamental functional importance: the anti-codon, which is responsible for specific mRNA codon recognition, and the 3' end, to which the tRNAs corresponding amino acid is attached (by aminoacyl-tRNA synthetases). tRNAs cope with the degeneracy of the genetic code in two manners: having more than one tRNA (with a specific anti-codon) for a particular amino acid; and 'wobble' base-pairing, i.e. permitting non-standard base-pairing at the 3rd anti-codon position.
Source: RNAcentral
CAAAAUAUAGCUUAACCAAAGCAUCUCGCUUACACCGAGAAAAUAUCUGUUAAACCCGGAUUACUUUGAGC